ACGAGGAGUACCGGCGGAGGUGGAGGCGCCCGCGGCCCCCGAGCCCGGAGGAGGAGCGGCGCGCGGCGGCGAAGGGGCGGCGGAAGCGGCGGCGCCCCCCGGUGGCGCAGGCGGACGAGGUGAGGAAGGGGAGGGCCUGGGCGGAGGGGGCCGCCGGGCUCGAGCGGACGACGAAGCCCUGGCGGGGGCGGCUCCGGCACGGGCGGCGGCGGGGGCGCUGGGGCGCGAGGUCCUUACAAGCAAGGUACCUCCUCUCUUCCCGAACACUUCUUGCUGAUCCCGUCCAUCAACUCUUCUACUUUUUCCUUCCUUAUCUAUACUCGGUUACCUCCGAACCGUGAAAAGUUGCCUGCUAAACGGGUGUCACGCUUCCCCCGAGUUGACUCCUUGCUUCGGAGUCGCAUAAGUAGGCCCUUCUACCAUGUGUACCUUUGACCUGAACAAAAUCUCGCUUAACACCUACCUUUCCGAUAUGGGUCGGACUACCUCAAGGCUUCCGCAUGGUUCGUUUCUUCCUGAGCCCUUUACUUUUACUUUCACUGGUCCUUCAGUUUCGUUUAGUCGGUCAGUUCCAAUAGUCUUUUGAAGCACUUCUCCUGGACGCAGAGCUCGGAGAAACACUACUCGAGCACUGUAUGAAAAGUCUUUCUUACUAUAGCCGUUUUUGUGAAUCUUCCUUGUUACAUAGCGUUGCAUUUUCCUUAUUGUUCUAGCAAUAACGAAAGUGGAUAUCUGCACUAUUUCAGGAACAACCGACGUUUAUGUCCCUUCAUAGAUUCUUUAAAAGUGUCCUCCGCUUGUGUCUCUUUUAAAACAUGCCAGACCUACUAUAUUUCGUUCGUGCGCUAUAAUAGUAACAACUCCCACUUUAACUAUUUGAAAGGUACCUCCUCCGACCGAUAGCAUUAACACACUCACACGGUCUACCACGUGGUCGCGUUCAUAGUUUGUUUGAGGGCCUGUUUCUAGUACUAUUUUUCAUAAGUAUAGACACCUUGACGUUUCUCAUAGAACUGGGCCGUAGAUCCUAUUAUGACCGUUGCCUACGACUAGGAGGUCCCGUCCGAGAACGACUCCUUGAACGAGCUGCAGAACCAUUUCUUUCCACAACCUCCCAGUUUACCGGUUUCUUCUUGCUCUGUCUUAAAACGUUUCUACGAUUGCUCCAUGAAUACAAGAAUCCUGGUGUUCGUAACUUUCUCCAAUAUCUUCCACGUCUUGACAUAGGAUAUUCUCCAGAUAAGUUGAAGUUUCUAAAGAAGGGACUCUAGCUAUCAAUAAUAGAUCCUUAAGUACCCCUACUCGAACCUUAAGGAUGACCAACCUUUACAUACCUACCCGAGAUGUUCCAACAAGGACCCCUUAACUGGUAUCAUUGUCCUCAUGGUUUAAGGCCGUUUUCACUCACCUAGCUACGUAAUGACACAUUAUAUUUGUUAGUCACACCUACCUUUAAACAUGAUACGAGCUACCUUUUGUUCCAGUCUCUGGUACGGGCCUUUGAUAACCUCUUCGUGUAAUUCUUUGGAAAGAAACUACGAUCUAUACCCCCGAGACACCUUGCCUACUCAUUUCUACUUAAACUUCUUCCGUUUCUUACCAACUUACUCAGUAAGGUAGACUAAUCCACACUUCUACUAACGGAAGGUAGGUAGCUAACCCAAGAAUUAGAACGAUUUCGGCGUCAAGAUUCUGUACCUCAUGCACCAGAACACUAACUAGGAAUAUUGCUCGAACUGGUAGUCGCGGGGGGUUUAGUUUGGCUCUGUCUUAUACAGUCGGUCUAGGAAUGCUUCUAAUUCGCAAAACGUGUUGUAGUAAGUACAGUACAUACCAAACAACGCGUGGGAUCCGUCGAAGUGUUGACCUGACCGCGUGGCGGAUUAUACAUGCUGUAGUCACCUUCACGCGUAAAGUAUUUGUUUACACUAUUACCAUAGCAGUAUGUGGCUUUGUCCCUAGGUCUACGACCGGGACACCUACAGCACGUCCAGACAUACUUCUUCCAAGCCUUGUUUCACUAACCCGUUUAUCCCCUACGAAAGAACUGUAUGCUGGCCUAAUGACCACUUAUGUUCCUUCGGCUACUCCGGUAACAUCGUUUCCACCACUUCGUCGUCUAAGCAGUCUUUAGCUGUUCAAUGGUUGCGACUAAAUGAAACGAGCGAGAGGGCCUGUCAACUGUGCCAACUCUAUAAUACCGGGAGCGAAGACACCUACAGUGUCAACUGUCAAACGGCACACUAGCACCGUCUAACCGAUUGAACUAGCAAGUACGUAGACUCGACUAAGGACCACGCUUUUUACACCAGCUUCCGAUGAUUGGAAUGAUUCUGCCGGUGUACCGUAACGACCCCACACCACCACAUAUCGUUCGAUCUAGUAUAAUAACAUUAAUUAGCAGCGUGGUCCGCCUCCAGCACAGUCGUCCCUUUCGAGUAGAGUUGGCGAUCAUCCAAUAAAAAACAUACGGGAAGGCUGCCAACAUCGUCAACCUUCAGGUACUGUGAGUGUGCAUAGCAACCGUAGUCAAACGUACGUAGUCGUCUUCGGGUACUAAACGAGUAGCCUCCGGGGUACAAAACUUAGAAGGAUGGUGGGUCGUGUACGGUAGCUGGUACACCACUGGUUUAGAUAAACCUAGACUCGACCUUGCUGUUUACGAAGGUUUUAGAUACUAGUAAUCUAGUAAUUGGUCGUAAAAAGAAAGGGCGAAUUGAAACG
This 2724-nucleotide ribosomal RNA is filed under the name Triticum aestivum (bread wheat). RNAcentral's name for it is "partial small subunit ribosomal RNA". The record is from RNAcentral. Lineage: Eukaryota; Viridiplantae; Streptophyta; Magnoliopsida; Poales; Poaceae.